UAAACCCAACAUUCUCUACCUAGAUAGCAAAAUUACAAUAAGUACAUUGGCGAUCUUCAGUAGAUAGAUUUCUUGAUUUCUUCACACUUGCUUCCAUUAUGGAAUUUUCCCAAACACUUUGCCUAAUGGAAUUUUCUCAAACACUUUGCCUUUAUAUUUUUCCACCUCAAACCAUGUAUCCAUCAAACUUCACGAUUCUUCUUUUUUCCAAUACGAGCCUUAGCCCGUACACACAUUGUGCUCCGAUACCAAUUGAAGGGUUCUUAGGAACUGCUAGCUUGCAUAGCCGGGAAUCCUAAAUAUCAGGAUCACAUCCAAGAUCGUGUACAUAAUUAGCUAAAUGCGAAGUAAAUGGAUACAACUAUAAAUCGAGUGUAAGAAAUAAAGCAAACAUAAAAUACAUACUACAACAACACACAAUUUACAUGGUUCAAAUCAUAAGGCUACAUCCAUGGCUUCAGCAAGUAGAAAUUUAUUAUCUCAAUGACGAUUACAGUUUUGGUUUACAAGAGAUAAUACAUGUCUCUAACCAUCAGUAAAAGACCAUCACCGAUCUUUCUUUCUAAACUCGUUCUCCCGACCGAAAAACACUAUCGAUCAAUACUUUUUUUCCCACCGCAAUAUUACUACCGAAAAGAUAACUUCGAGAGCAACCGAUAUAUUUUCUCUCUCUAGAAGUGGAAGCUUUACCAACCAAAAACUGAUGAGAAUACCACCUGACCAAUCUCUAUCUUAAAGAUCCAUUCCUAUAACCGCCAAAGGGGUGACCUUCAAAAGAAUAUAAUAUUAUGUCUUCAUUGAGUAUCUUAUAUAGAUAUCACUUUCUUGCUUCUCAAGAAAGUCCAUUUUUAUUUAUCAUAAUACCCUUAAUCUUUAGAAGAAAAAUAUGGGUAUGGUAAUUUAGAAUAUUGUAAUGCAUUUUAGAAAUCUACUAUCUCAAUGAAUAUUAUAGUUUUUUUUAUUACAGGAGAUAAUACCUAUCUCUAAGCAUUGGUAAAAGACCAUCGCCGAUCUUUCUUUCUAAACUCGCUCGCUCGACAGAGAAACACCAUCGAUUAAUAACUUUUCCCACCGCAAUACCACUACUGAAAAGAUAACAUUGAGAACAACCGAUAGAUUUUCUCUCUCUAGAAGUGGAAGCUUUACCAACCCAAAACUCAUGGGAAUACCACUUGACCAAUCUCCAUCUUGAAGAUCUAUUCCCAUAACAUCUCCAUCUUGAAGAUCCAUUCUUAUAACCCUCAAAAGAGGGACCUUCUAAAAGAUAAGAUAUUAUGUCUUCAUUGAAUCUUUUAUAUGUGAGAAAUUGUAUGUUUGUAUAAUUGGGCCUUAAACCCCCAUGAAGAUGUAUUAUUGAGUUUAUCAAAGAUGUGAACAAGAGCCCCAAUUUAUAGGGUUACAAAUUUAUGUACUACUAAAGAAACUAACAUAUGUAAAGGAAUAUAUUGUUCCUAAACUAACAUAUUGUUCCUAAACAUCAGUGCAUGUUUCUAUAUUUUUAUACUCCCCCUCAUAGCUUAAGUUUGAACAAUUGAAGGUAGGCGUUAGUAAGAAAGCAGGAACAUAAGAAGCUUGAGCAGUUGCAAAUUAGCGAUCCUCAUAAACCUAUAUCUCGAACAGAGCAAUCUCGCAUAACAGCAAAUCAACAGGCAUUUGAAAUAGACAUGAUCGAGUAAACUUGAUCAUCACACAAGAUGAAGUAACGGAAAACUUGAUCAUCAACCAAGAUCAAUAAAUUCGAUCAUCAAACAUGAGGCACUUGACAGAGCUAACAGAAAUCAGCAGGGGAUCAACAAGCACUGUUGGACCUUAGAUUCGGAAUAGAGAACAUUAAGAUCUAAACACAGAUCAGAGAAUUGAAACACGACUCGACAGACAGAUCAUAGAGUCGAAAUACAACUCGGCAGAGAGACUGGUCAGAUAGUCGAAACACAACUCAGUAGAGAGACAAAUCAAAUAGGCGAAACACGACUCGGUAGUUGUUUUACAGAUGGUACAGAUUGGCCGUUUUCAUAUACCAUUUUCAAAUGUGGGUUUCAAAUCUAGCUCACCAAAGUUCCGACAUCAAAGGGGAGAUUGGUCGCAAAGGGACUCGAAAACCUUAUGAAUGCAAUAGUAACAGCAAAUACUGGAAGCAAAUACGGAGAAGGCUAGAGAGAGGUACAUCACUUUUGUACCAAAUAAAGUAGAAAAGGUAGAGAGAGAAAUAAGAGAUGGAACCCUUUAGUGGUACUGACAGCAUGAAUUGGAGUACUUUCAAAUACUUUGCAUCUGCAACUCCAGCCAUCUCUUGGAUGUUGAUUACCAAAACAUAUUUUCACCAACACUCCACAAAAAGAAAUGAUCCGAGAUAAGAGAAAACCCUGGUGAGAUAAGAGGGCAAAACAAAUUUGCAUGAUAUACAGGAAAAUUCAAUUAAUGAGUAUGUGAGUGUCCCGUCAAUCUCUAGUCUCUGAGCAUCGUAUCCAAAUUAAACACCAACAAAUAUUCAAAGUGAGAGAGAGAGUAAACUAGAGAGAGAAACAUAGCACGUUCUAGUGAGAGGGAAAAUUCUUCCCUGCCAUCACCCAGGCUUCGCGAUCAGAACAUGGUUGCCCCAUAUACAUCAGAUGCCGCCAUACCAGACCCACUUCUCCUCUCAAUGCGUGGCCUGCUGGGAGCUGAGCAGAGAAAGAGUUGUAUCCCCAAGGCCCGAACAUAAGGCCCAAACUGAUGAGAGAGAACUACUACAAGAAGAACGAAAUACAGAUAAGAGGAGCUGCCGAGUAGAGAACAUAAGGCCCAAAACGAUUGGAGAAGAGCCAAACUGAGAUCAGAGAAGUAUGAGAGGUGAAAUAGAGUUUUCACAUAUCACAGAGAAUACACAGAUCGUAUAAAACCUCGUUUUGAUAUCAUGUGAGAAAUUGUAUUUCUGUAUAAUUGAGUUUUUCAAAGUUUAUCAAAGAUGUAAACAAGAGCCCUAAUUUAUAAAAUUACAAAGUUGUGUAUUACUAAAAAAACGAACAUAUGAAAUGAACCACUUUUUUAAUAUGGGUACAUAUAAAAAGAAAU
Molecule: long non-coding RNA, 3051 nt
Filed under: Amborella trichopoda
Lineage: Eukaryota; Viridiplantae; Streptophyta; Magnoliopsida; Amborellales; Amborellaceae
Description: long non-coding RNA (ATRI_LNC002235)
Source: RNAcentral